ACUACGGGUGGCAGCAGUAGGGAAUCUUCCACAAUGGGCGAAAGCCUGAUGGAGCAACGCCGCGUGGGUGAAGAAUGCCCUCGGAUUGUAAAACUUCGUUGUUAGAGAAGUAAGAGCGUGAGAGUAUCUGUUCACGCUUCGACGGUAUCUAACCAGAAAGCCACGGCUAACUACGUGCCAGCAGCCGCGGGAAUACGUAGGUGGCAAGUGUUAUUCGGAUUUAUUGGGCGUAAAGGGAACGUAGACGGUCUUUUAAGUUUGAUGCGAAAGUCUUCGGCUUAACCGGAGUAGUGCAUUGGAUACUGGGAGACUUGAGUACAGAAGAGGUGAGUGGAACUCGAGGUGUAGCGGUGAAAUGCGUAGAUAUAAGGCAGAACACCGGUGGCGAAGGCAGCUCUCUGGUCUGUAACUGACGCUGAGGUUCGAAAGCGUGGGUAGCAAACAGGAUUAGAUACCCGUGUAGUC
RNAcentral lists this ribosomal RNA (465 nucleotides) under uncultured bacterium. Its description in RNAcentral is "partial 16S ribosomal RNA". It matches the Rfam family "Bacterial small subunit ribosomal RNA", at positions 338 to 795 of the family's 1533-position model. The record is from RNAcentral.